GUUCCUACGGGGGGCAGCAGUGAGGAAUAUUGGUCAAUGGACGAGAGUCUGAACCAGCCAAGUAGCGUGAAGGAUGACUGCCCUAUGGGUUGUAAACUUCUUUUAUAAAGGAAUAAAACGAGGCACGUGUGCCUUUUUGCAUGUACUUUAUGAAUAAGGAUCGGCUAACUCCGUGCCAGCAGCCGUGGUAAUACGGAGGAUCCGAGCGUUGUCCGGAUUUAUUGGGUUUAAAGGGAGCGUAGAUGUGUUGUUAAGUCUGUUGUGCAAGUUUGCGGCUCAACCGUAAAAUUGCAAUUGAUACUGGC
RNAcentral lists this ribosomal RNA (305 nucleotides) under uncultured bacterium. Its description in RNAcentral is "bacterial SSU rRNA". It matches the Rfam family "Bacterial small subunit ribosomal RNA", at positions 335 to 637 of the family's 1533-position model. The record is from RNAcentral.